UGGGAGGUAAAUUUCUCCUAAGGCUAAAUAUCGGCGAGAGACCGAUAGCGAACAAGUACCGUGAGGGAAAGAUGAAAAGAACUUUGAAAAGAGAGUAAAAUAGUACGUGAAAUUGUUGAAAGGGAAACGAUUGAAGUCAGUCGUACCGACGAGAAAUCAACUUAUCGUGUGCGAACUUGUGGGCGUGCGUGAGUUUCGGCCUCGCUGUUUGCAUGUUUGUGCGUUUUGGGUGUACUUUUUCGUAUGGUAGGCCAACAUCAGUUUCGAUUACUAUAAAAUGACUGGCGGAAUGUAGCUUCGAUUUCGGUUGAAGUGCUAUAGCCUCUGGUAGAUGUGGUGAUUGGGACUGAGGAUUGCAACGAAUAUCCUUUGGGCUAUCCGUCUGAUCUCUGAAAGUUGCUCAGGUGCCAAAAGCGUGCUUACGGUCAUCUAAGUUGACGGUCAAUAGGUUAGAACGUGAUUACAUUCGUUAAGGAUGUUGGCGUAAUGGCUUUAAACGACCCGUCUUGAAACACGGACCAAGGAGUCUAACAUAUAUGCGAGUGUUCGGGUGUUCAAACCCCUACGCGUAAUGAAAGUAAUUUUGGUGGGAUCACUUUUGUGUGCACCAUCGACC
Molecule: ribosomal RNA, 616 nt
Filed under: uncultured Glomeromycotina
Lineage: Eukaryota; Fungi; Glomeromycota
Description: eukaryotic LSU rRNA
Rfam family: Eukaryotic large subunit ribosomal RNA
Source: RNAcentral